AUCUACAGCCAUACCACCUUGAACACACCUAAUCUUGUCUGAUCUUGGAAGCUAAGCAGGGUCUGGUCUGGUUAGUACUUGGAUGGGAGAAAAAUGAUAUCUGUAGGAA
Molecule: ribosomal RNA, 109 nt
Filed under: Cercocebus atys (sooty mangabey)
Lineage: Eukaryota; Metazoa; Chordata; Mammalia; Primates; Cercopithecidae
Source: RNAcentral